Molecule: unclassified non-coding RNA, 330 nt
Filed under: soil metagenome
Description: partial contains 5.8S ribosomal RNA, internal transcribed spacer 2, and large subunit ribosomal RNA
Rfam family: 5.8S ribosomal RNA (bases 1-120)
Source: RNAcentral
GAUGAAGAACGUAGCGAAAUGCGAUAAGUAGUGUGAAUUGCAGAAUUCAGUGAAUCAUCGAAUCUUUGAACGCACAUUGCGCCCCUUGGUAUCCCGAGGGGCAUGCCUGUUCGAGCGUCAUUUCACCACUCAAGCCUGGCUUGGUGUUGGGCGACGUCCCCUUUGGGGACGCGCCUCGAAACGCUCGGCGGCGUGGCACCGGCUUUAAGCGUAGCAGAAUCUUUCGCUUUGGAAGUCGGGGCCCCGUCUGCCGGAAGACCUACUCGCAAGGUUGACCUCGGAUCAGGCAGGGAUACCCGCUGAACUUAAGCAUAUCAAAUAAGCGGAGGA